UCAGAACGAACGCUGGCGGCAGGCUUAACACAUGCAAGUCGAGCGCCCCGCAAGGGGAGCGGCAGACGGGUGAGUAACGCGUGGGAACGUACCCUUUACUACGGAAUAACCCAGGGAAACUUGGACUAAUACCGUAUGUGCCCUUCGGGGGAAAGAUUUAUCGGUAAAGGAUCGGCCCGCGUUGGAUUAGCUAGUUGGUGGGGUAAAGGCCUACCAAGGCGACGAUCCAUAGCUGGUCUGAGAGGAUGAUCAGCCACAUUGGGACUGAGACACGGCCCAAACUCCUACGGGAGGCAGCAGUGGGGAAUAUUGGACAAUGGGCGCAAGCCUGAUCCAGCCAUGCCGCGUGAGUGAUGAAGGCCCUAGGGUUGUAAAGCUCUUUCACCGGUGAAGAUAAUGACGGUAACCGAGA
Molecule: ribosomal RNA, 412 nt
Filed under: soil bacterium 7V-09
Lineage: Bacteria
Description: bacterial SSU rRNA
Rfam family: Bacterial small subunit ribosomal RNA
Source: RNAcentral